This 72-nucleotide transfer RNA is filed under the name Aporrhais serresiana. RNAcentral describes it as "tRNA-Glu". Lineage: Eukaryota; Metazoa; Mollusca; Gastropoda; Littorinimorpha; Aporrhaidae. The record is from RNAcentral.
GUUUCUAGGGUGUACCGUUUUAGCACAUUAGAUUUUCAUUCUAAAGGAAUAAAUCACUAUUUAUUAGAAAUA